This 440-nucleotide ribosomal RNA is filed under the name uncultured bacterium. RNAcentral describes it as "partial 16S ribosomal RNA". It matches the Rfam family "Bacterial small subunit ribosomal RNA", at positions 338 to 795 of the family's 1533-position model. The record is from RNAcentral.
CCUACGGGGGGCAGCAGUGGGGAAUAUUGCACAAUGGGGGAAACCCUGAUGCAGCGACGCCGCGUGAGUGAAGAAGUAUUUCGGUAUGUAAAGCUCUAUCAGCAGGGAAGAAAAUGACGGUACCUGAUUAAUAAGCCCCGGCUAACUACGUGCCAGCAGCCGCGGUAAUACGUAGGGGGCAAGCGUUAUCCGGAUUUACUGGGUGUAAAGGGAGCGUAGACGGCAGCACAAGUCUGGAGUGAAAUGCCUGGGCUUAACCCGGGAACUGCUUUGGAAACUGUGCAGCUAGAGUGCGGGAGAGGUGAGUGGAAGUCCUAGUGUAGCGGUGAAAUGCGUAGAUAGUAGGAGGAACACCAGUGGCGAAGGCGGCUUACUGGACUGUAACUGACGUUGAGGCUCGAAAGCGUGGGGAGCAAACAGGAUUAGAUACCCCAGUAGUC